AUUGAACGCUGGCGGCAUGCCUUACACAUGCAAGUCGAACGGUAACGGGCCUUCGGGUGCCGACGAGUGGCGAACGGGUGAGUAAUACAUCGGAACGUGCCCGAUCGUGGGGGAUAACGAGGCGAAAGCUUUGCUAAUACCGCAUACGAUCUACGGAUGAAAGCAGGGGACCGCAAGGCCUUGCGCGGACGGAGCGGCCGAUGGCAGAUUAGGUAGUUGGUGGGAUAAAAGCUUACCAAGCCGACGAUCUGUAGCUGGUCUGAGAGGAUGAUCAGCCACACUGGGACUGAGACACGGCCCUGACUCCUACGGGAGGCAGCAGUGGGGAAUUUUGGACAAUGGGCGCAAGCCUGAUCCAGCCAUGCCGCGUGCAGGAUGAAGGCCUUCGGGUUGUAAACUGCUUUCGUACGGAACGAAAAGCCUUCUUCUAAUACAGGAGGGUCAUGACGGUACCGUAAGAAUAAGCACCGGCUAACUACGUGCCAGCCGCCGCGGUAA
Molecule: ribosomal RNA, 498 nt
Filed under: uncultured bacterium
Lineage: Bacteria
Description: partial 16S ribosomal RNA
Rfam family: Bacterial small subunit ribosomal RNA
Source: RNAcentral